This 1871-nucleotide long non-coding RNA is filed under the name Equus asinus (donkey). RNAcentral's name for it is "lncRNA (ENSEASG00005024370.1)". The record is from RNAcentral. Lineage: Eukaryota; Metazoa; Chordata; Mammalia; Perissodactyla; Equidae.
AAAGACUUAAGAAAACCGCACCUCGAGCCUUUCUGACCUGGCUCACUGGUUCAUUUACUAAACACUCACCGAGUUCCUACUAGACACGAUGCUGAUUCCACGCUAGGCACUGGGCUCAGUUAAUUCUCACUCCUCAUUCUUGGGAAGCACGACUGGGAAAUGUUCCCAGGACCCUCUUUGGGCACUCAGCCUGCUGUGUGGCCGGGUUUGGACGUGACCAGGGUUCCAGGGGAAGGCGCCUUCUGCCUCGUCCACUUCUGUGUCAUCAGCACGUUCUGCUGUGCCUGUGACACAGCGUGCAGGUGCUCGGGGAAUGUUCAACGAGUUGACACAGGCAUCCAUCUGCUAAACCACCCCGAGGGCCGUGGGGAGCUGGAGACCAGCCUUUUUCACAGCGCCGGGACUGGCACCCAGAUCCAUCCAACAUCAUACCUCUCUUCACCAUAAUCAUCACCCUCCUGGCCUCGCAGGAGGGCCUUCGACUCCACGGAUGUCUUCAGAAGACCACGCUGAUCUCUGCAGGUUUGCUGAGGCCUUCUGGUCUGUGGAGGGCGACCUGAGCCGCAGGGCACUUGGGCCCCUCAGGGCAGGCAGCUUCCUGUGCACUCCUCGGCUCAGAGCUGUAGCUGAUCCUUCAUGUGGCUAAGACGUGUGAUUCACUGAACGUCUGCAGUCACCUGCAGGCACAGCUCUGCCUCCACCAUCUAGUAGGGAAGAAAGACAUUAAACAUGUCACUUCCGCAAAGUGUUGCGUUUACCCACCUGGGAAUGAGCCCCAUGCUCCGGGGGCCUCUGAAGCACCCAACCCUCUCAACAGGCUUCUGAUCAACCACCUGAAGUCCAGCACCGCAGGCUGGAGGGGAGGAUGGAUGGCAGGCCUGUUCCCCCGCGGGGAGCCCCCCUUUACCCGUCUACAGGCCUCAGGAGUGGUGAAACUUUACCUCCAGCGUGUUGUUUGGGAAAAACCCCUCAGUUGGCCCGAUCGGGAGGCUACUAAAUUCCUAGACACAGAGCUGAGAGGCCAGAAAGUGGCCUGUUGUGUCGGCAAGAUGCAAACGCUGAGGCCUGGGGAGCCUUCUCCCUCCUGCCUUGGUGUCCACAGGCCCUGAGUGGGGGCCCAGGCUGCGCCCCCUCUGCAGGAAAAACAAACCCCAGGCUCGGGGAGCUGACGUAAACAUCCUGAGGAAAUAACUGCUGUAAGGCUGGCGAGCCUCAUCUCCCCAAGGAAGUAAUCAGCACCUCUUCCCCUGACAGCUCCAGGUGAGCGGGCGGGGCGGGGACGGGCGUGCGCCUGGCGCUCCCGUAACUGUCCGCUGACGACCAAGCGCGCUCCCGUCCAUUGUCACAGUGGAGCCCCUGAACCCAGGGGCCGGGCGGGGCGGGGAUGGCUCCCCAGGAAAGGAAGCCGAGGCUCCGGCGCUCGCUCGCUCUUCCCGGACCACGCGGGGAGCACCCGGGAGGCCCCUGCCUUCCAGCCCCGGGCUCGCCCCCGGCACCGCGAGGACCCGGAGGAAGCCCUCCGCGCGCGCGGCCGCACGGCCUCAUUGUCCCCGCCAGGCGCCCCGCCGCCCGGACCCUGGCCGUCUCGACGCCCGCCGCCCCGGCCGCUGUGCGGAACGGCCCCCGAACAAAGGAGCGGAGCGCGCGGGCCCGAGGGGCGUCCGCCCGGCUGGCGGAGGAGGGAACCCGCGAAGGGGACGGGGCGGCGCACGGGGGCAGCGUCCCGCCCGGCCGCUUUCUGAGCCUCCUUCCUGACCGAGCGCGGAAGCGCCCCUGGUGCCCCAGGAGGUGGCGCGCCCGCCGCGCCCGGCCGGCCCGUGCGCCUCCCAGGGAACCCGGAGCACGGGCCCCCGUGCGCUCCCCCCAGCCGC